GACGAACGCUGGCGGCGUGCUUAACACAUGCAAGUCGAACGGAAAGGCCCCCUUGUGGGGUACUCGAGUGGCGAACGGGUGAGUAACACGUGAGUAACCUACCCUUGACUUUGGGAUAACUUCAGGAAACUGGGGCUAAUACCGGAUAGGAGCUCCUGCUGCAUGGUGGGGGUUGGAAAGUUUCGGCGGUUGGGGAUGGACUCGCGGCUUAUCAGCUUGUUGGUGGGGUAGUGGCUCACCAAGGCUUUGACGGGGAGCCGGCCUGAGAGGGUGACCGGCCACAUUGGGACUGAGAUACGGCCCAGACUCCUACGGGAGGCAGCAGUGGGGAAUAUUGCACAAUGGGCGGAAGCCUGAUGCAGCAACGCCGCGUGCGGGAUGACGGCCUUCGGGUUGUAAACCGCUUUCGCCUGUGACGAAGCGUGAGUGACGGUAAUGGGUAAAGAAGCACCGGCUAACUACGUG
Molecule: ribosomal RNA, 465 nt
Filed under: uncultured bacterium
Lineage: Bacteria
Description: partial 16S ribosomal RNA
Rfam family: Bacterial small subunit ribosomal RNA
Source: RNAcentral